This is a long non-coding RNA of Artibeus jamaicensis (Jamaican fruit-eating bat), 3783 nucleotides long. RefSeq lists it as uncharacterized. The transcript has 3 exons. NCBI's taxonomy places the organism in Eukaryota, Metazoa, Chordata, Mammalia, Chiroptera, Phyllostomidae. The record is from RefSeq and is a predicted model, not a curated record.
AUCUGUUACAGGAGCAACAGGGGGCACAUUUCAGGUGGGGCGACCAGGAAGGCCGCACUGUGGAGGCGACCUUUAACCCCUAGACGAUCUGGCGAGGCAGGCAUCACCAUCCCCUUUCUCAGAUGCAGAAACUGAGGCUCCACGUUUGUGAACUUUCCCAACGCCGCAGGCACAACCAGUCAGUAGCCAGGCCCAGGUCUGAACCCAGUGGGACCUUCACCUGGCUGUCCGCAGACGCCCUCUGGGUCCCAGCCCAAGGGGCUGGCCCUCAGUGUGUGUGGCAGGCCUGUCGUGGCGCCUGCGUCCUCCUUCCCUCCAGCCCACAGCAGCCGCAGCUCAGCGCUGUUAGGCAAGAGGUCUUCGGAGUGGGGUCUUGGCCCUGCGAUCUCCCAGCACUGUGGCUGGGGUUCGGAGUGCGACUUCCCCACCCAGCCCUUUGCUCCCUGUCAUUGGCCUGUACACACACCCACCUCUUGCUCUCACUCGACUUCUUGGGGCCCUUUCCAUCCGUGUGCCCCUUUUCCUGACUCUAAGCCUCAAGGCUAGAGUCCCAGGCUGUCGUCACCCAGGGUAGUUGUCACCAUCGAAUAAGCAGCAUCAGGCACACAGCAGAUGCUCUGGAAAUGGCAGGACCCCUCCCUAAGUGGGUGCCUCAGACUGGGGGCUGCACACAGCUGGCGCAAGGCCGGUAGCUGUGGAGCGUGGCGAGUGAGGGUCCCCCAGGCCAGGACGGGGAGGUGAUGGCAGGACACAGGGCUGUCUAGCGGGCGGUUGGGGUGCGCGUGUGUGCAAGUGUGCUGGGCUGCGACGUUGGAGACGGUGGGAAGUGUGGGGAGCGGGCAGUCGCCCGGAGGGUCCAGGCUGUCGGUCCAGGCUCUCAGUCCGGCUCUGCUGCUGACUGGUACCCGACCAGGAGCCAGGUCCACUGACGCUUGGGAGCCUCAGUUUCCCCACCUGGACAACGUCUGUAGGACAGCUCUGACGACUCAGUGAGGUCGUGCCCAACGCCCGGCUGUGGCAAACACCCCCAAAAUGGGGGUUAUGGCUCUGGCGGUGGGACAUGGGGGAAAACUGAAAUUUCCUAUUUGAUUCAUUCCUGUAUUCCCACAUGCCUCCCUUUUACUUUUUACAGUGAGAAUAUAUUGCUUUAAGAAUUAGAAAAAUAAAACAAGUGUCUCGAAGACUCCAAGUUCAAAUCUAGAAAAGACUGCCAUAAAAACUCCCACACUCUAGGCGGGAAGUCAGGCUGGAAAGGUAGGGAGAGUCAGCCCUACCACGUUUUUUAAAUUUUUAAGAUAAUUUUUUUUCAAAAGAAAACUUACUUUUAUAUCACUGGACUCAUUGCCCUGAACACUUCUCCACCCGUGCGUGUUCUCACGCAGCCGCGGUCAUGAGCACCGUCCUGGGUGCUCCACUUUCUGAGCCUCGCUCAUCUGUCCCCACGGGUCUGAGUGGCCCCAUCAUGUUACUUACAAUGGCCGUGGCUGUUUCACACGACCCAGGUGCUGCAAUUCAUGCCUUGCCCCUAACGGUUGUCUCGCCCCUAACGGUUCGCUCUUCCUUCCAUCACUGAUAAUGCCCGUGUGCACUGAGAACUCUGUCGGGCACUGGGGACCGAAGGUCGACCAGAUCGAAUUCCUGCUCUUGGUGUAACUGUGCAGCUAGUUAGCUAAUAUUAAUAAGAAAGGGGGCAAAGGGAGUUCAACAUGGAGCUUAAUGAACCAGAAGAUAUGAGCCCAUCUGCUUCACCAGGAAGCGACAGCUUCAUACCCCAGGGGACCACAGUGACAAGUGGAUUAACACUCAUCCCCCCGCUUCGGUAAUGAAUUGUUGGGGGGCACAGGGGAUGGUGCUUGACCAGAAAGGCCUGUCAGUCUAACUAGGGGGUGGACCCAUCAAAAGCCCGAAAGCGUAGGACGGUCUCUGGUUAUUUUGACAAAGCACCUGGCCCAUCCCAAAUGCAUGUCGUGUAAUCCCAGGGGAACAAAGAAGCCCUCUGUCUGUCUGUCUGUCUGUCUCUCUCUCUCUCACCCGUGACCUGCACUCACCUUUGGUUUGUGAGCCCUCUCCCCUGGGAGCACUAGGUCACGUGGCCCAGCAGCUUCCAGGGCCCACGGCUCCCAAACACUCAGCUUUAAUACGAAGCUGGGACUCCGGACAGCGGCUUCGUCUUAGCCCUGCAGAGGACGCUGCUAGACGUGCUCCACGGCGGGAUGGAAGGGGACGGGACACGGAAAACCCAGUGGGCGGCUUCUGUCGCCGCCUGAACAAACCCGGCCACACCGCAAGCUCCCGUGUGUGGGGCCUCGGGACGCUUCCCCCUCAAUCCCGUGGAACGGCCCAAUUCCCACCAACAACACCAGGAAUUUCACAAAGGGGACCUUGGGGUAAGGAAACAAAGACUCUAGCACAGUGAUGCGGGCCACGUCGCUGAUGCUUUCUUAUCCAGUGUUGUUUGAUUCAAAUGAUUUUUCUCUAUUUUUCUGUUUUAAUUGUGCUUUUUUGUCAUUCUUAUAGCAGUUAAUUAUUUUUAAGUUGCGGUGAAAUAUAUAUAACAUAAAAAGAUCAUAUGACCAUUUGAAAAGGUAGCUGUACUACAUUUCAAAAAGGAACAUCUGAGAGAAAUUCAUAAAAACGACUCCAGGCAGCGGUGAUGGCGGAGGGUGAGCCUCAGGCCCCCUGGGGAUGUCCCAUCAAAUGGUCACAGGAGGGGGAGGCCGGGUCCCAGGGGCUAGCCAAGCAGACCCAGCGUGGCGCCUUGAAGCUGGUGGGCAGUGAGGUCAAGUUGCAGGGCUGGGGGCAGCUGAGCUGAGCUGACGAGAAGAGAAGGAAGAGGAAGACACACACAGCAGGGCUCAGGUAUCCAUAGGCUCCCAGCCCCAGGGCGACCAGGAAAGGGCCCAUCCCUCAGCAGCGCGGUUUGGUGGAGUGCGUCAAAACCCUUCCGUGUGGCUUAGUGUUACACGUCAGCGUGGCUGGGCUGCGGUGCCCAGAUGGUUGUUUGCAUGUUACUCUGACUGGGUCCGUGGGUGAGACUGCCAUUUAAGCAGGUGGACUUUAGAAAUAAAGCAGAUUGCCCUUCCGUUACGUGGGUGGGCCUCAUCCAGUCAGCUGAAGGCCUCAGAAGAAAAAAGACUGACUUCCCCUGAUCAGAACGUGGAGCCGGAAAGGAAGAGCAGUGAAAGUCUCCUGGAGAUACAGAAUCUCCACUCGAGUCUGGAAUGCCGCUGAGUCAUCAUCCCCGGGGCAGAGGUACCGAGGGAUCCUUCCCUGCCCCCUUUGCAUUGAGGCUGAACUACUUGCAGAAGAGUCAUUUCCUGUUGGUGGCAGGUCAGGCUCUUUGACACUGUUUGCUUCUGAUCCUGGCUCGAGACUGGACCUGAGAAGCCCACCCCUGGCCUGACCUAAGGCCGCCUGGGGGGAGUGUCCAGGCGAAGGCCUUUCCCGUCCAGCUGGGCUCCAAUCCACGAGCCAGCGCCUCGCCAAGCAGGACCCCAGCAGACAGCGGUGGGCCGAGGGGUUGGGCCAGACCACAGGACCGUCCCGGGCAGUGUGAUCGACCACCUCCCCACAGGCGGCAGCUGGAAACCAACCCCUGCCUGUCCCAAGGUGCAGGGGCCCUGGUGGUCUGGACUGACAGAUUUCCAGGGAGAGCACCCUGGCUCUUUUGAGUAAAAUGCUUAAAAAAAUUUUUUUUAAAGCCUGGUUAACAGUAUUGUUCCCCAGUUACUCAAUAGUAACUAGCCUAAGAAGCAAAUUAAAAUAAAAAUAAAAGCAACCCUG